RNAcentral lists this small RNA (1830 nucleotides) under Pongo abelii (Sumatran orangutan). RNAcentral's name for it is "processed transcript". Lineage: Eukaryota; Metazoa; Chordata; Mammalia; Primates; Hominidae. The record is from RNAcentral.
ACUGCAACCUCUACCUCCCGGUUUCAAGAAAUUUUUCCCCCUCAGCCUCCCGAGUAGUUGGGAUUACAGGCUCCCACCAUGAUGCCUAGCUAAUUUUUGUAGAGACAGGGGUUUGACCAUGUUGGCCAGGCUGGUCCCAAACUCCUGACCUCAGGUAAUCCGUUCGCAUCAGCCUCUUAAAGUGCUGGGAUUAUAAAGCAUGAGCCCCUGCGCCCAGCCCUGAUUGGCUUCUUAAAAAGAGAUGAGUUGGCAGAUGUGUCUCAAUUUGUUGGGGAUGUAUGUGGCAGCACAGAGCAUCCAAGAGAAAUGUACAGCCUUUGGUUAUGAUUCAUCAUUAUUUUUGGUUUUUGAGAUGGAGUCUAACUUUGUUGCCUAGGCUGGGGUGCAGUGGCGUGAUCUUGGGUCACUGCAACCUCCACCUCCCAGGUCCAAGUGAUUCUCCUGCCUCAGCCUCUUGAGUAGCUGGGAUUACAGGCACCUGCCAUCACGCCAAGCUAAUUUUUGUAUGUUUAGUAGAGACGGGGUUUCACCAUGUUGGUGAGGCUGGUCUCGAACUCCUGAUCUCAAGUGAUCCGCCCACCUUGGCCUCCCAAAGUGCUGGGAUUACAAGUGUAAGCCACCACGCCCGGCCAAUUCAUCAUUUUUAAUGGGCAGUAGAGGAGAAUUAGGACCAGUGGGAUCCCCAGGCCUACCAGGUAAACCGGGUGUCGUCGGUGAACCGGGUCCAAAGGGUGAACAGGGUGCCUCUGGUGAAGAAGGUGAAGCAGGAGAAAGGGGGGAACUUGGAGAUAUAGGAUUACCUGGCCCAAAGGGAUCUGCAGGUAAUCCUGGGGAACCUGGCUUGAGAGGGCCUGAGGGAAGUCGGGGGCUUCCUGGAGUGGAAGGACCAAGAGGACCACCUGGACCCCGGGGCGUGCAGGGAGAACAGGGUGCCACCGGCCUGCCUGGUGUCCAGGGCCCUCCGGGUAGAGCACCGACAGAUCAGCACAUUAAGCAGGUUUGCAUGAGAGUCAUACAAGAGCAUUUUGCUGAGAUGGCUGCUAGUCUUAAGCGUCCAGACUCGGGUGCCACUGGGCUUCCUGGAAGGCCUGGUCCUCCUGGUCCCCCUGGCCCUCCUGGAGAGAAUGGUUUCCCAGGCCAGAUGGGAAUUCGUGGCCUUCCGGGCAUUAAGGGGCCCCCUGGUGCUCUUGGUUUGAGAGGACCUAAAGGUGACUUGGGAGAAAAGGGGGAGCGUGGCCCUCCAGGAAGAGGUCCCAAAGGUUUGCCUGGAGCUAUAGGUCUCCCAGGUGACCCAGGCCCUGCCAGCUAUGGCAGAAAUGGCCGAGACGGUGAGCGAGGCCCCCCAGGGGUGGCAGGAAUUCCUGGAGUGCCUGGACCCCCGGGACCUCCUGGGCUUCCCGGUUUCUGUGAGCCAGCCUCCUGCACCAUGCAGGCUGGUCAGCGAGCAUUUAGCAAAGGGCCUGACCCUUGAAAGGCUUACUGCUGCAUGGCUGUCUGCAUGAACCACGCCUGGUGGAGGAGCUUGGAUGAGAAGCUGGGGCAAAGAUGAUUACCUUCAGCAUGAUUACAAUGUAUUACCUUCAGUAUGAUUACAGAAGUCCUACUUGACAAUCACAUUUAGAAGAACGGUGCUAUUCAGUAAGUUCUCUUUCCUUUCCCUUGGAGGGAAGACAGCAGAGUCAUCAGUUAAAAAAAAAACAAAAACCAAACACCUCCCUUGAAUGAAUUUAUACUCCUGUUCCCAGGAUCUUGAGCUUUAGUGUGCUAUAUCUAUGUGUCUUAUCGUGGGCCACUGUGCCAAUAAACAAAAACAACUGUUUGGUUUACCUC